RNAcentral lists this ribosomal RNA (263 nucleotides) under uncultured Staphylococcus sp. RNAcentral describes it as "partial 16S ribosomal RNA". It matches the Rfam family "Bacterial small subunit ribosomal RNA", at positions 99 to 355 of the family's 1533-position model. Lineage: Bacteria; Bacillati; Bacillota; Bacilli; Caryophanales; Staphylococcaceae. The record is from RNAcentral.
CGGACGGGUGAGUAACACGUGGAUAACCUACCUAUAAGACUGGGAUAACUUCGGGAAACCGGAGCUAAUACCGGAUAAUAUAUUGAACCGCAUGGUUCAAUAGUGAAAGACGGUUUUGCUGUCACUUAUAGAUGGAUCCGCGCCGCAUUAGCUAGUUGGUAAGGUAACGGCUUACCAAGGCAACGAUGCGUAGCCGACCUGAGAGGGUGAUCGGCCACACUGGAACUGAGACACGGUCCAGACUCCUACGGGAGGCAUCAGCA